CCUACGGUGGGCAGCAGUAGGGAAUAUUGCUCAAUGGGCGAAACCCUGAAGCAGCAACGCCGCGUGAAGGAUGAAGGUUUUCCGAGUGUUAACUCCUUUUGAUAGAGAAGUUAAUGACGGUAUCUAACGAAUAAGCACCGGCUAACUCCGUGCCAGCAGCCGCGGUAAUACGGAGGGUGCAAGCGUUACUCGGAUUCACUGGGCGUAAAGCGCGCGUAGGCGGGUUAGCAAGUCAGUUGUGAAAUCCUAUGGCUUAACCAUAGAACUGCAUUUGAAACUGUUAUUCUUGAGUAUGGGUGAGGUAGGUGGAAUUCGUGGUGUAGGGGUAAAAUCCGUAGAGAUCAAGAGGAAUACUCAUUGCGAAGGCGACCUGCUAGACCAUAACUGACGCUGAUGCGCGAAAGCGUGGGGAGCAAACAGGAUUAGAUACCCCUGUAGUC
This 440-nucleotide ribosomal RNA is filed under the name uncultured bacterium. Its description in RNAcentral is "partial 16S ribosomal RNA". It matches the Rfam family "Bacterial small subunit ribosomal RNA", at positions 338 to 795 of the family's 1533-position model. The record is from RNAcentral.